AGAGUUUGAUCCUGGCUCAGGAUGAACGCUGGCGGCGUGCCUAACACAUGCAAGUCGAGCGAAGCGAUUUUGAGGAAGUUUUCGGAUGGAAUCGAAAUUGACUUAGCGGCGGACGGGUGAGUAACACGUGGGUAAUCUGCCUUAUACAGGGGGAUAACAGUUAGAAAUGACUGCUAAUACCGCAUAAGCGCACGGGAACGCAUGUUUCUGUGUGAAAAACUCCGGUAGUAUAAGAUGAGCCCGCGUCUGAUUAGCUGGUUGGUGGGGUAACGGCCUACCAAGGCGACGAUCAGUAGCCGGCCUGAGAGGGUGAACGGCCACAUUGGGACUGAGACACGGCCCAAACUCCUACGGGAGGCAGCAGUGGGGAAUAUUGCACAAUGGGGGAAACCCUGAUGCAGCGACGCCGCGUGAGUGAAGAAGUAUUUCGGUAUGUAAAGCUCUAUCAGCAGGGAAGAAAAUGACGGUACCUGACUAAGAAGCCCCGGCUAACUACGUG
This 499-nucleotide ribosomal RNA is filed under the name uncultured Lachnospiraceae bacterium. RNAcentral describes it as "bacterial SSU rRNA". It matches the Rfam family "Bacterial small subunit ribosomal RNA", at positions 8 to 507 of the family's 1533-position model. The record is from RNAcentral. Lineage: Bacteria; Bacillati; Bacillota; Clostridia; Lachnospirales; Lachnospiraceae.